This 49-nucleotide ribosomal RNA is filed under the name Bipolaris maydis (southern corn leaf blight pathogen). Its description in RNAcentral is "partial 28S ribosomal RNA". The record is from RNAcentral. Lineage: Eukaryota; Fungi; Ascomycota; Dothideomycetes; Pleosporales; Pleosporaceae. RNAcentral also lists the same sequence under 4 other names.
UUGACCUCGGAUCAGGUAGGGAUACCCGCUGAACUUAAGCAUAUCAAAG